Phragmites australis (common reed) is the source of this 1648-nucleotide RNA transcript. It is a transcript of the gene named putative glucose-6-phosphate 1-epimerase, with no coding region annotated. The record is from RefSeq and is a predicted model, not a curated record. Lineage: Eukaryota; Viridiplantae; Streptophyta; Magnoliopsida; Poales; Poaceae. The transcript has 9 exons.
CGCUGUGCGGAAAUUCCCCAAUUAAGGAGAUCUCUCUCUCUCUCUCUCUCUCCACUGCUCGCUACUGUUCGCGCACGGAAAUGUCGGCCUCCGCGUCGUCGCCGUUGCCAGCCGCCGAGGAGAAAGCGCAGCUGGCGCCCGUGGAGCACUGCAAGGGCGUGAACGGCCUCGACAAGGUCGUCCUCCGCGAGGUCCGGGGCAGCUCCGCCGAGGUGUACCUGUAUGGUGGGCAUGUGACAUCAUGGAAAGAUGAGCAUGGAGAGGAGUUGCUUUUUGUUAGCAAUAAGGCUAUUUUCAAACCUCCAAAACCUAUACGUGGAGGAAUACCAAUCUGCUUUCCACAGUUUUCCAACUUUGGAAAUCUGGAACAACAUGGAUUUGCAAGGAAUAGAUCCUGGAGCAUUGAUGCUGAUCCACCGCCAUUUCCAGUACCAACCUCCAAUAGGGCUUAUGUUGACUUAAUCCUUAAAUCCACUGAAGAGGAUUUGAAGAUCUGGCCUCAUAGUUUUGAAUACCGUCUGAGGGUUGCACUUGGUCCUGGUGGUGAUCUGAUGCUAACUUCACGUAUAAGAAAUACUAAUGCAGAUGGAAAGUCGUUCUCUUUUACCUUUGCAUACCACACGUACUUUUCGAUCUCUGAUAUCAGUGAGGUCCGAGUAGAAGGCCUGGAAACUCUGGAUUACCUAGACAACUUACAAGAUAGAGCCCGCUUCACUGAACAAGGCGAUGCGAUUGUUUUUGAAUCUGAACUGGACAGAAUAUAUCUGGGCACGCCGUCAAAAAUUGCCAUUAUUGACCAUGAGAAGAAAAGAACAUUCGUUGUGAGGAAAGCAGGCCUUCCUGAUGCUGUUGUUUGGAACCCCUGGGACAAAAAGGCUAAGGCUAUGUCAGAUUUUGGGGAUGAUGAAUAUAAACGCAUGGUAUGUGUGGAGGCAGCUGCCAUAGAAAAGCAUAUUACUCUGAAGCCUAGUGAGGAGUGGACUGGAAAGUUGGAACUUUCUGCUGUGCCAUCUAGUUAUUACAGUGGUCAGCUAGACCCUGUCCGUGUGAUUCAGGAAUCAAGUGUCCCAGAGGAUUCAUUCAGCUAGUCUGUACUGUAUUUCUGUGCAGGUAACAUUUCUAGUAGUAAUAUGCCCUGCAUAAAGACUGUGAUCGUAGCCAAAUACAAAUCAAACAUAGCAAGAAUUCAUUCAGCUAGUCUGUACUGUAUUUCUGUGCAGGUAGACCAUCAAUUAUAUCAUAUGCAUAAGGGACACUGGCAACAAGGAAUGCCAGCACGUUUCCAUUCUAUUCAAAUCUUUGUUGCUUUCUAUUGGGAAUGCAUAUCCGAAAUGAGGAAUAUCAAAAUUGGUUUCUUUUUUGGGGUCCACAUGACAUAAGGGACAAGUCAGUGUUCAUAUCCUGUACAGGGAUGUUUGAGGCAGAAACAUCUUCCAUGUGUUGUAAAAUAAAAGAAAAAUUCCAUCUUUCUUUGAUCCAUUCUUUUUAUAUUCAGAUGUGUAAGUUCUAUAGUGGACCUAGAAAACGGAGAUGAUGCGGAAAUGAACACACAUUGUGUAAACAUUCUAAUGCUGUGGCUGCGUAGCUGCUUGUGGUUGCAGCACAAAAACUUAUUACAUGGGCAUUUUACUUCCCAUGAUUAUCUAGC